CGGUUGAUCCUGCCGGAGGGGACCCCUAGCGGGCUCGCACUAAGCCAUGCAAGUCGGCUGGGGGCCAAUCCUGCCCCUGGCGGCGCACGGCUCAGUAAUACACGGUCAACCUACCCUGGGGACCGGGAUAACCUCGGGAAACUGAGGCUAAUCCCGGAUAGGAGCAGGGUACUGGAAUGUCCCUGCUCCGAAAGUAGGCGGGGGGUAGCCCCGCUGAGGCCCCAGGAUGGGACCGUGGCCUAUCAGGUAGUAGGUGGGGUAACGGCCCACCUAGCCUAAGACGGGUGCGGGCGGUGGGAGCCGGAGCCCGGAGAUGGGCACUGAGACAAGGGCCCAGGCCCUAAGGGGCGCAGCAGGCGGGAAACUUCCGCAAUGCGCGAAAGCGUGACGGAGUGAGCCCGCGUGCCGCCCGCUGAGGGCGGCUGUCCCCGGGUGUAAACAGCCCGGGACAGGAAGGGGAGGGCAAGGCUGGUGCCAGCCGCCGCGGUAAAACCAGCUCCUCGAGGGGUCCCCACGCAUACUGGGCCUAAAGCGUCCGUAGCCGGCCCCGCAAGUCCUCGGUUAAAUCCACCGGAAGACCGGUGGGCUGCCGGGGAUACUGCGGGGCUAGGGAGCGGGAGGGGCCGGGGGUAUUCCGGGGGGAGCGGUAAAAU
This 653-nucleotide ribosomal RNA is filed under the name uncultured archaeon. RNAcentral's name for it is "bacterial SSU rRNA". It matches the Rfam family "Archaeal small subunit ribosomal RNA", at positions 5 to 638 of the family's 1478-position model. The record is from RNAcentral.